RNAcentral lists this ribosomal RNA (189 nucleotides) under uncultured bacterium. RNAcentral describes it as "partial 16S ribosomal RNA". It matches the Rfam family "Bacterial small subunit ribosomal RNA", at positions 326 to 507 of the family's 1533-position model. The record is from RNAcentral.
AGGUCGACGAUUCCUACGGGAGGCAGCAGUGGGGAAUAUUGCACAAUGGGCGCAAGCCUGAUGCAGCCAUGCCGCGUGUGUGAAGAAGGCCUUCGGGUUGUAAAGCACUUUCAGUCGUGAGGAAGGUGGUAGUGUUAAUAGCACUAUCACUUGACGUUAGCGACAGAAGAAGCACCGGCUAACUCCGUG